This 63-nucleotide non-coding RNA is filed under the name Burkholderiales bacterium. Lineage: Bacteria; Pseudomonadati; Pseudomonadota; Betaproteobacteria; Burkholderiales. The record is from RNAcentral.
CAGCGAAACCGCCGCGAGGCGGUCUGCCGGACGUGGUUGUCCGGUACUGAUGAGCAGCCGAGG